Molecule: long non-coding RNA, 1010 nt
Organism: Ornithorhynchus anatinus (platypus)
Lineage: Eukaryota; Metazoa; Chordata; Mammalia; Monotremata; Ornithorhynchidae
Exons: 3
Source: RefSeq, a predicted model, not a curated record
GGCCGCUCUGCCUGCACCAUGUGAGGAGCCGUGGGAUGGAUGAUUUCAAAGCUGCCUUUGAUGAAGACUAUCUACCACCUCAAGUUGGAGGAGCUGGAAAGAAAAGACCAGGACAGAAGGGAGGUAAAAGUCUCAGGAGGAAGGAGGGAAAGGAAUUGUCACUGAAGAAAGACAUCUACCCCAAAAAAUAGUGAAGGGAGAAGAAUGGCCUCUUCCAGAGAGAACGGGUCACGUGAUGAGAAUGAAAGAAUGGGACUGGGAAGAAGAAGUCUCCAAAGACAGGAGAGAAGCUUAACAGCCUUCCUGGAAGAACACGUCGAGGGAUGGGGUGGGGGGGACGAGAAGUGUGGCCUGUCCAGGAGAAGAGGACAGGCGAUGCAGACGGAAGGCACGGUGAGAGGAAAGGAAGACGAGGCGGGUGCCCGCCAGAGAUGAUUUCAAAGCUGCCUUUGAUGAAGACUAUCUACCACCUCAAGUUGGAGGAGCUGGAAAGAAAAGACCAGGACAGAAGGGAGGUAAAAGUCUCAGGAGGAAGGAGGGAAAGGAAUUGUCACUGAAGAAAGACAUCUACCCCAAAAAAUAGUGAAGGGAGAAGAAUGGCCUCUUCCAGAGAGAACGGGUCACGUGAUGAGAAUGAAAGAAUGGGACUGGGAAGAAGAAGUCUCCAAAGACAGGAGAGAAGCUUAACAGCCUUCCUGGAAGAACACGUCGAGGGAUGGGGUAGGGGGGACGAGAAGUGUGGCCUGUCCAGGAGAAGAGGACAGGCGAUGCAGACGGAAGGCACGGUGAGAGGAAAGGAAGACGAGGCGGGUGCCCGCCAGAGGUGCGUACUGCCAAAAUCACGUCCUUUUGGAUUAUGGCUUUCCCAGGCACCCUUGUCAAGUCUUCCUCCGUUCAGUUGAAGGAAUUAAUUUAGGGCACGGUUAUGAGAUGCCUCGAUUACUGCCAACACGAACCUUGCAUUUUUAUUAGUUCAUGUCACCCAUCGCCGGGGACAGGUUCUUUCGGAA